RNAcentral lists this unclassified non-coding RNA (294 nucleotides) under plant metagenome. RNAcentral's name for it is "partial contains small subunit ribosomal RNA, internal transcribed spacer 1, and 5.8S ribosomal RNA". The record is from RNAcentral.
UUUCCGUAGGUGAACCUGCGGAAGGAUCAUUAGCAAUUUCAGGCCCUCCGGGUCUGCGGAGCACGCUAUUAGGCUGCUGGGGGAAACCUCAGUGGGGUACGGCGGCGUAGGGGGCAACCCCUACCUUGGUUUGUUAGCUACACCCGUGUCUACUCUCUUUGUUGCUUUGGCGGGCCGCCUCCAGGCGUCGGCUCCGGCUGACCGUGCCGCCAGAGGACCCAAACUCGUUUGUUACAGUGAUGUCUGAGUACUAUAUAAUAGUUAAAACUUUCAACAACGGAUCUCUUGGUUCUG